This 477-nucleotide ribosomal RNA is filed under the name uncultured soil bacterium. RNAcentral's name for it is "bacterial SSU rRNA". It matches the Rfam family "Bacterial small subunit ribosomal RNA", at positions 26 to 518 of the family's 1533-position model. The record is from RNAcentral.
AGGAUAAACGCUGGCGGCGUGCAUGAGACAUGCAAGUCGAACGGACGAUCGGGGCUUGCUCUGAUCGUUAGUGGCGGACGGCUGAGUAACGCGUAGGUGACCUGCCCCGAAGUGGGGGAUAACUGCCCGAAAGGGUGGCUAAUACCGCAUGCGGUGGUUCGUUCAAUCGAUCCAUCAAAGCAGCAAUGCGCUUCGGGAGGGGCCUGCGUCCGAUUAGCUCGUUGGUGGGGUAACGGCUCACCAAGGCGACGAUCGGUAGGUGGUCUGAGAGGACGAUCACCCAGACUGGGACUGAGACACGGCCCAGACUCCUACGGGAGGCAGCAGUCGGGAAUUUUUGCGCAAUGGGCGGAAGCCUGACGCAGCAACGCCGCGUGAGGGAUGAAGGCCUUCGGUUGUAAACCGUCUUUUUAUCUAGGACGAUAAAUGAGGUACCUUGACGAAUAAGUCACGGCUAACUACGUAGCCAACAGCCGC